GUAGGUGAACCUGCGGAAGGAUCAUUACUGAAUUGAAAGGAAGUUGAUGCUGGCUGCCCAUCUGGGUAGCAUGUGCUUGCUUCCGACAAUCUUAUCCAUACACCUGUGCACACUGUGGGGGAGCGCCUUCUCGGAGCGCCCUCAUUUAUAUUACAUACACCUAAUUUGGAAAUUGCACGUGACUUGCGUCGUAUGGCGCUUUAAACUAAAUACAACUUUUAACAACGGAUCUCUUGGCUCUC
Molecule: unclassified non-coding RNA, 242 nt
Filed under: rhizosphere metagenome
Description: partial ribosomal RNA internal transcribed spacer region
Source: RNAcentral